This 4369-nucleotide long non-coding RNA is filed under the name Canis lupus familiaris (dog). RNAcentral's name for it is "lncRNA (ENSCAFG00000053197.1)". The record is from RNAcentral. Lineage: Eukaryota; Metazoa; Chordata; Mammalia; Carnivora; Canidae.
GAGAUCCUUAUUUUAAGGAAUUGACUUAUGUAACUAUGGGGACUGGCAAGUCUGAAAUCUGUAUGACAGGCCUGCAGACUAGAAAUUCAGGCAAGAGUUGAUGUUGCAUUCUUGAGUUCAAAUUCUGCGGGACAGCAGUCUGUAACUUCAGGCAGGGUUCCUUUGUUGCAGUUAGAGGAAAGUUUCUUUUCCAGGAAACCUCAGUCUUUGCUCUCAAGCUCUUCAAUUGAUUGGAUGAGGACCACCCACAUUAUGGAGGCUAAUCUGUUUUAUUCACUGUCUACUGAUUCACAUGUUAAUCACACUUAAAAAAAAUACCUUCAUGGUAACACAUGGGCUGGUAUUUGACCAAACAGAACCAUAGCCUAAUCAAGAUGAUGCAUACAAUUAACCAUUGGAGGUACUUUUGGGAGUGCAUGUGCUACUUGAAGCCAUGUUUUAUGGCUUCCUUUUGGCUCAGAUGGAAUUUUUCAACAUUUUAUGAGAGGGAGCCGACUAGGGUUCUAGGCCUACUGCUCGUCACCCUUCAGAGUAAGGCACUGGCCUGGACUAUAACCCUGAUGAACAGUGUGCCCCAAUUUCUCUGCCCAGAAAGUAUGAUAACUAAGUUUCCUUUAGCCCUAAUAUUCCACUCUAAGGAUCAAGUAAUCCCUGUCUGUAAAAUGGGAGUCGUAAUACUAACACAUAGCAGGAGUUGACUGUACACCAGCACAGCUGAACCUGCUUUACAUGAAAUAACUAAUUUAAUCAUCCAACAAUCCUAUUAGAUAGUAGCUAUUUCUCUUCCCAUUUUACAGAUGAGGAAACUAAGAUAUGGAGAGAUUAACUUUGCCCAAGGUCACACAGCUAGUCAGUGGCAGAGCCAGGCUUUGAAUCUGUAUAGUGUGUGUCCACCACAUGAUGCUAUCUCUUCAGACCAUCUUGCAGAGCUAGGGUGGAGAAAGAAUGAGGUAAUGGAUCUGCAAACACUCUGUGUGCACUAAGGACCUAUGGGAUCAUUACUAUUUAAUGGUUUGUUCCAUGAGCAACCCCUCUAGGAUGGAGUCUCAUAACUGAAUUCUGACUGCCGCUAGUCUAUUGUCAAGUACACACCAAAUGCAGUUGAUGUGCAGUCAAUAGCAGGGUGAUGGAAUGAAUCAAGGAUGUGCAAACAAACAGCUGCUUGAUGAGAUCUCAAUUUUGAGUCCAUUUCCUGGUGAAUGUGGAUGGAAGAAGUCAACCCUAUGUCCCUCUUAUCUCUGUGAAAAAAUCAGAACAUCUCCCAGCAGUUCAUAUUUACCUGUUAUACUCCUUUGUCAAUUUCUUGAAAAAUAAAGCACUACUUGUGUUUUCUUUUCUCAAUGCACAAACACUCAAGAUAGUUCAGGAGGCAUAUCUCCCUAGUGAUAGGAGGCCCAAGUGCUGUCUGAGCCACUGGGCAUAAGAAUAUGAGGCUAUAUAUUUGCUCCCACAGCAAGAGAGGAAGUGAGAGAUCUAGGGUCCUUGAGAAGACCUCACAGUAGCCCUUCCAACUCCAAAGCUGCCAAGAGAAGCCCAUUCCUGGACUGGCAGACCUUUGCUUCAGAACUUAUUCUGGCUACAUGAAUGCUUUUGGUGCAAGGGUCUGAGGAGGUGAAGGGGCAGCUGAAGGUAAUUUGAAGAUCCUGUUUAAUGAUUCUCCUUUGGUUUCCCUGUCAUUUUAUUGUCAUUCAUGUCUUCCAAGGUGAUACCCUUCCAGACCUGAAGCCCAUCCCCAAGUAUGCUCUCUAGGGAAAGAGGAAGCUCCUGGAGACAUGGGCUAUUGCCAUGAUAUUCCACCUCAGUCAGAAUCUUCACCAGCUCUGCUUUCUUUCUUUCACUAGGACAAGAAAGGCCUUUAUCUGCUGAUACAGCUGGGUAGGAGACACACUAUAGAUCUAUAUGCUAAGAUGUAUAGGUCUAAGUUUCCAUAAUGCAGAGUUUAUAUUACAGCCAUUCUUUCCUCAUUGCUCAUUCCUUGCUCCUUGUAGGCACCUCACUAGAAGCCUACCUGUGCCUUGGCUGGCAUAUUCUGCUCUUUUUCAUUUUUCUUGGCACUCUUCUUCUUCUUCUUCUUUUUUUUUUCUUUUUAGAGCAGGAAAGGCAGGGAGGGGCAGAGAGAAAGGGAAAGAGAGAAUCUUCAGCAGGCUCCAUGCCGAGUGUGGAGCCUGAUGUGGGACUCAAUCUCAUGACCCUGAGAUCAUGACCUGAGCUGAAAUCAAGAGUCUGACUCUUAAUCAACUGAGCCACUUAGAUGGAUGCCCCUCUUGGCAUUCUUGACUACCCACUCUGUGUCAGACACUGCUAGUCAUCCAUCCUCUUUUUUUUCCUUACCAACAGAUCCAUAGUUAGUGCAGGGCAGCAGUGUGUCUAAUUAGACCUAUCCUUUGUAGUUAGAGGAACCAUGGGAUCCAGUUCUAGUUAAUGGGAUGUAAGCAGAGCCUACUAACUGGGACUUUCAGGCAACUUAAUUUAUUCCUGAUCAGUAGGGAAAACAAUUCACCUUUCCCCUUUGCCCUUUCCCUUCUUCCUGCCUGGAACACAGAGGAUGAGCUAUUUCUUGUGACCAUGAACAUAAAAACCACAAACAGGAACUAGAGGACUAGGGAGCUGGAAGGAGCCUGAGUCCUUGAAAGCGUCCUCAAGCUGUCACAGUAGCAUUGGAUUGCCUACUUUUGGACUCCUUGUUGUGUGAGGGAGGGUUUCCAUUGUGAGCAGCCAACUGUAAUCCAGACUGAUACAAUUUCUUAAGAAAGAGAGUUUAAGAAAAUCUCUCAUCUUUCUUAUUCAUAAUGAUGAAUUCCUGCCUGUCUGUCCUUGGCUAGCUCCUUUUCCUCCCGCUGCACUGACUUCCCACCAGCAAUGAGUGGGCCAAGUUAAGGCAUCCUUGAUGUCCCAGCAGGCAGGCUGUCCCUUAUUAGCAUAGUCACAUUUCCAGGCUUAUAUGUCUUGCCCUAAUCUGGGGGGUGAUUUGUGGUGGCUCAAGUAUGUAGGAGAUGACUGCAUUCUGUGAAGAAAAUAGCAUCUCAGUCACAUGGAUACCAGGAACCUCUGCAUAGUUUGGCUACCUUGAUUUAUCCAGUAAUGGAAAAGCAGUCUUUUUAAAAUUAUCUAAACUUUGAGUUUUGAAGACACCUGUUCCAUGUCACUCUCCAGUGGUUUGCAUAUUGGAUUUGGUCAUAAAUCUCUGGCUGUCCUAGGACAAAAGUGGCAAAUAUCUGAUUCUUUUGAUACCAUUCUUUCUUCUACCCCUUUGGUGGAAAUUGUGACUUAGUUAUGUUAUUCUUUUGUUUGUUCAUUUAUUUUGAGUCCAAAGUGUUUCAGAAUCUCGCUAAAAACCUUGCUUAAGAAAGCCAUUCCUCUAUCUCCAAGUCCACGUGGAAAAAGACACUUGAGUGCAGAUUUUUGUGCUUCUUCCAAAAGGUCUUAGGGCUUCUUUAGGUCUGGAAUGCAAGGAUGUUAUGCCUUUGGGAUACUUCUUUUGGGCUAAGACCCAAAAGUUGCUAGGCAGACCAAGGAAAUGAAGGGAUAAUGAUAUUCUCUUUUCCAACUGUCCCUUUUCAUCUUUGUAUCUAAUCCUCCUAACUCCCCAAAUUAAAGCAUCUGUGUCCAUCGUCCUGAGCUGAGGUGGGAAGAUGAGCAGGACCAGAGCAGAGGGGGAGCUCAUCAGAGACAGCACAUUCUGAAGAUUGGCAAAAAGGAAGUGUGACAGCCAACUUCUUGGAAGGGGACCGCAGAACUGUAAUUAAAUUUUCUGAUCUUGUUAGCCAAUUUCUUCACUCACUGCCCCUGAACCAGAGAACGGGGAGGGAGGAAGGACACUGUUGCAUCAGUGGCGGCGGGGAGGGAAAUGAGCUUUUCACGGAUUAUUGGGUUAGUUCCACUUCUUCCACUUUUUAAUUUAUUUGUCUGCAUGUUCUCUAGAGCUGAAAAGGCUCCAAGUCCUUUUCCAUUUUCUUUUAAUUAGAUCUGAUUUUGGAGUCUGGAAACUUGGGAGGGGCUCAGGUCACAAUAGCAGGAUGACAACAGUUGGAAGGCCCUCUUCUUCCUGUUAGAUCUUUCUGAACUCUUUUUUCAGAAUUUAAGACUCUUAAUGAUGAGUUUCUUUUUUCUUUGAGUUUCUUUCUUUAAUGGUACUGUUUGCAUUGUUUAGUACCUUAUCCCAUUUUGCCAUCUAAUGGUUAAAAAUAAUGAACAUUCCUCACAAAUUUCAAAAAAAAGAGUAUACAUAUAUUUUUACAGACCAUUCCUUCAUAUCACUUUUCUGUGUGAUGGAACACAGGCGAGGGAAGUCUGUUGUGGUCCCCCUGGGUUUCCAGGAGGAGUAAUGCCAACUCUACAUUCUCUCUUCUUUGAAGCAGAAAGAAAGAAA